GAUGAACGCUAGCUACAGGCUUAACACAUGCAAGUCGAGGGGCAGCAUUUUAGUUUGCUUGCAAACUAAAGAUGGCGACCGGCGCACGGGUGAGUAACACGUAUCCAACCUGCCGAUAACUCGGGGAUAGCCUUUCGAAAGAAAGAUUAAUAUCCGAUAGUAUAUUAAAACCGCAUGGUUUUACUAUUAAAGAAUUUCGGUUAUCGAUGGGGAUGCGUUCCAUUAGUUUGUUGGCGGGGUAACGGCCCACCAAGACUACGAUGGAUAGGGGUUCUGAGAGGAAGGUCCCCCACAUUGGAACUGAGACACGGUCCAAACUCCUACGGGAGGCAGCAGUGAGGAAUAUUGGUCAAUGGACGAGAGUCUGAACCAGCCAAGUAGCGUGAAGGAUGACUGCCCUAUGGGUUGUAAACUUCUUUUAUAUGGGAAUAAAGUAUUCCACGUGUGGGAUUUUGUAUGUACCAUAUGAAUAAGGAUCGGCUAACUCCGUGCCAGCAGCCGCGGUAAUACGGAGGAUCCGAGCGUUAUCCGGAUUUAUUGGGUUUAAAGGGAGCGUAGGUGGAUUGUUAAGUCAGUUGUGAAAGUUUGCGGCUCAACCGUAAAAUUGCAGUUGAAACUGGCAGUCUUGAGUACAGUAGAGGUGGGCGGAAUUCGUGGUGUAGCGGUGAAAUGCUUAGAUAUCACGAAGAACUCCGAUUGCGAAGGCAGCUCACUAGACUGCAACUGACACUGAUGCUCGAAAGUGUGGGUAUCAAACAGG
RNAcentral lists this ribosomal RNA (760 nucleotides) under uncultured bacterium. RNAcentral describes it as "bacterial SSU rRNA". It matches the Rfam family "Bacterial small subunit ribosomal RNA", at positions 28 to 776 of the family's 1533-position model. The record is from RNAcentral.